GUGGGGAAUCUUCCGCAAUGGACGAAAGUCUGACGGAGCAACGCCGCGUGAGUGAAGAAGGUUUUCGGAUCGUAAAGCUCUUUCGUUAGGGACGAACGUGCUCUUUGUGAAUAAUGAGGAGUAAUGACGGUACCUAAAUAAGAAGCCACGGCUAACUACGUGCCAGCAGCCGCGGUAAUACGUAGGUGGCAAGCGUUGUCCGGAAUUAUUGGGCGUAAAGCGCGCGCAGGCGGGAUAUCAAGUCUGUCUUAAAAGUGCGAGGCUCAACCUCGUGAGGGGACAGAAACUGGUAUUCUUGAGUGUCGGAGAGGAAAGUGGAAUUCCUAGUGUAGCGGUGAAAUGCGUAGAUAUUAGGAAGAACACCAGUGGCGAAGGCGACUUUCUGGACGAAAACUGACGCUGAGGCGCGAAAGCCAGGGGAGCGAACGGGAUUAGAUACCCUUGUAGUCC
Molecule: ribosomal RNA, 450 nt
Filed under: uncultured bacterium
Lineage: Bacteria
Description: partial 16S ribosomal RNA
Rfam family: Bacterial small subunit ribosomal RNA
Source: RNAcentral